AAGAGGGGAAGCAAGAGAAAAGACAGGUCUUUUGUACAGAAGAGAUGAUGGAGGAAUAAAUGUAGGUAGCUGAACUCCCUCCCUUCCCCAAUUCAGGCAGCUGAUCCUCUGGGAUCCACUAUCGGAGGAUUUGUAUCUUAGAAUAGCUUACAAAUUAGGAUGCUGCACCCAACGAUUGUGUUACCUGCUGAUUCUAAACUCAGUUUGUGUGGUAUUUUCCUUCAGACAGUGACUCAACUGGGUUCCAGAGAGAAAGGUACUGCAUCAAAGCGUGGGGUUGUGAGAAGUGCACCCCAAAUAACAGUGGUAAUUUGGAAGCAUGUGGCUGGCGUGGCAGCAACCUGCCAGGGGAACUUGUGGGUGGGGAGAUUUCAGAGCUCUGAGUCAGAGACUCUGUCAGGAUGAGAACAGGUUGGCCAGUCUGCCGGGUAGCGUGGGAUUCAUAUUUUUUACUUCAAGCUACAAGAGUUUAGGUGUAUUUUAUACUUUAUGGUUUACAAAAUGGUAAUAGUUGUGUUCCAUUUAUAUUUGAGAGGAAAGAGCCUUUUAACUGGACAAAAGGGAAAAUGUCGAUUACUAUCUAUAUGCAUGUGAGGGCAGUCACGAGAUAAGGCAAGAACCUGUGAUUGGGCAGUGGAAAAGGAAGGCGGGCUGAGAGUUUUAGAGACCAGUACAGAGAGACAGGACGAGACCAAGAGGAGAAGAUCAGAGGGAACCUAUAGGAGAGGAAGAGGAGUCAGAAACACAGUUCUGGGAGUCAGAAGUAUUGGGGAUUUCUUAGAUGAUUAAAUAAUAAUUAGCCCCAUCUAGGUGUGCACUUUUGAUUUUACCUGGUUAGGGAGAUUUGUGACAGCUAACCACAGGAAGCAGAUAGCUGGGAAUGUGAGCUCAAUAUGCAGGGCCAAAGAGCAGCCGGCUUUAGCGUGGGAUGGUGCCUUCUUAUAUUUCAUGCAACAACAGACCACAGAGUAUUGUCCACUCUCUUACCCCUCAGGAAUUGUAAAGUCAUAGUGAUUCAUUACAGUCUCAGACAACCUCAAUGACAAAGGUCUCGCCACCAUUACUGACUUACCAUUUCAGACAACAACAUUCUACAGGGUUCCUGGGUGAAUGGGCAUUUCUGGAUCGGUCUGAGGAAAAACUUUAAUUUGCUGUUGUUUGGUGUCAGCAAUAUAAGGAGGAGGGCUGGCUGAGUUGAGUGACGUGCUUGUUCUCAGAAUGCUGUCAGAAUAAGUGGACCUUGAUCCUCCUAAUCCCUAGAAGGGGUGAGGGUAGAACAUGGCCAUGGACAAGCUAUGUGACUUGAGACUUCAUUAUAUCAUAAAAUGAAGAUGGCGGGCAACACCUUGUCUCCAGUUUGUUUUAGGAACAAAAACAACAGAUGAUCAAUGUCCCACGAUAGGGGCUCAAUAUGUAAGGUCGGAUCCAUCAUUGCACAAUGAAGGGCUGUGCCCUUCACACCUCAGUCUUCUGAGCUUCCUCCUGCCAAGGUCACCCAUGAGCUUCUUGUUCUGAGGGCUCAUGACCUGCCUCUUGCCUGGGCCUCAGCAUAAACUGAAUUUACCAUCCUCCUAAGAAGCUUCCUCAGAGUUUCUGUCUUUAUAUUCCCAUAUAGCUUCCUGUUCCCCUGGCUACUGGACUUAUCUACACACAUCUUCUCCCUGUGUUCAUAUCUUCUCUCCCUCACUACUGGUGCCUGGGGCUUUGCUCAUGUAGGUCACUGCCUGAAUUAUUCUCCAACUCAUUGCUACCUGUUUCUUCUUCCCUGGCACGCCAUCCCCCACAUCCUUUUACUUCAUAGCAUUUCUUACAGAUGUGACCUUGUGACUUGUUUGUUUGCCUAAUGUUUGUCUUGUUUUAACCACAGGACCAGGGCAUGGAGGAUAUGAACAAUGCAUAUAUUCACGCAUAUAUGAGUACAUGUGUGAGCCCACGCACAAGCACAUAUGUGCUUAAUUGUCACCUCCAAAGGAGUAAGGGCAAAGAAUUUGUUGAUAAAGGGAGUGAUUCAUGCUAUGCAGAUGAGGAAAUGGUGUGUUAGAAAAUAUUAGGUCAUAUGCACUCAUAUUAAAAACAUAGCAUGAAGAGUUCAUAUAUAAGACCUGCAUAUGAACCUCUACAAGAAUAUGUGCAGAACCAGCAUGCCAAGAUGGAGACAGCCUUGAAAUCUGUCUCAGGUAGCAAUGUUAGGAUUCACUUGUUAAGUUAGUUAAUCUGCAUAUGCAUGUAUGUGCUUGUGCAUGUGUUCAUACAUAUACUCAUACAUGUGAAUAUUUGCACGUGUGAGCUCAAGCAUGUUUGUGUUUCUGUGGGUGUGUGGGCAUGUGUGUACUUGACGUGUGUAUGCUCGUGUGUGUGUGUGUGUGUGUGUGUAUAUAUAUAUAUAUAUAUAUGCAUGCAUAUGCUCAAGUAUGUGAGUGCAUGUUUGUGAGCAUGUGUAUGUGUGCACGAACAAAGCACAAAGCCAGUAGAUGCAACAUGUGACAUUUUCUUUUGUCAGAACCAUGCAGUUGGUGGUGAAACACUGAAUGUUCUGAAGCAAUGUAGAUGGCUUCUCAUCACAUCUGUGUGGACCAUGUCAUGGAGCUGAGAUGAAGUGUUGCUAAGGUUGAGAAUCGGCUAAUUUAUGCAUACCACUUAACUACUUGUUUUACCAGCAACAGUGCUUGCUUCUUUCAAAAUAAGAGUUCCAAGCAAAGUUUUAAUUAACUUUAUAUCACUGCGAGAAUAAACACACAUAAUGUUUCCGGAUUGGAUUUAUGCUACAUUAGAGUGUCCACGAAGCCAUUGAGAAGCCUUUCUUUCUUAGCUUUAUUCAGUGUCUGGCAAACUGUAACAUCUCCUAAUUAAGAAGACUGCUGCAUAUGGCUUCACUGAAAGUUAGAAGGUUUGGAACUCCAGCUGCAUUCUGGGAUGCCAGUCGGGUGGUCUGUGCUCCCAUCUGUGUGCCUGCUGGGGAAGCCAGAUCCCUGUGGCACCAUGUCUCGUGAUUAGGGUCCUUUGUCACUGAGAUAAAAGUCAGGUUUAUGUGAUCAGCCAUUACAUCAAAACAGUUCAUCCGUAGUGUGUGUGUGUGCGUUUAGGUAUGGGUGAAUGUGCAAGUUUGAAGAAUAUGUGUGAAUAUGGGCAUAGGUGUUCAGAGGUCAACAUUCAGGAGCCUUACACUUCAAUAUUUUUAGGAUUUAUCUUUAUAUUAAAAUUACAUACAUGCAUAUGUGUUAUUGUGUAUGGGGUUGGGGGUAUAUGGCCAUGAAUGUAAAGGUCAGGGCAUAGAAUCCUCCAGAGCUGGAGUUACAGGCAUUUGUGAGGUAGCCAACAUGAUUGAUCUAAGUGAACCCUAGUCUUUUGCCAGAGCAGUACACACACCUAAUGGUCAACUCCUCAGUUUUUGAGACAAAAUCUCUCACUGGUUUGGAGAUCACCAAGUAGGUGAGGCUGGCUUGCCAAUGAGCCCAGGGUUCUGCCUGUCUCCACAGCCCCAGGGCUGGAAUUCUGCCAUUCGACACCCUGAUUGGCUUUUGGCAUACAGGUGGCAUAUGACCUCAGUUCCUCCUACUUGGACAUCAAGAAAUCUACUGACUGAGCAAUAUCACCCCUUAUUUAAAGAGUGAAUCGCAUAAUACUGGGGCUGGAGAGAUGGCUCGGUGCUUCAGUGCAGUGGCUUCUCUUCCGUAGAAUCUUGGUUCAAUUACAGCAUCCACAUGGCAGUUCACAACAGUCUGUAACUUCAGUUCCAGGAACUCUGAGGGCACUGCAUGCAUGUGAUGUACAUAGAUUCAUGAAUGCAAACACCCAUAAAGAACAACAAACAAAUCUUUUUAAAAAACAUAGAACAUCACAUUAACAAUCUAUAGCGUACUGGGUCCAGGUCACCAGUGGAACAAAUAAAACACCAGUAUCCCCACCUCAAACACCAGCAGAGGUGACGUGUUUAGUAUCUUAGCAGAACCCCAUUAACAAUGGAAAUACAGUUUAAAUAGGAACAUCAGUCAGUUUCAAAUUCCAUUUGAUUUCACACAGAAGUUAUACCAAGAUGCCCUGAAGUCCUCCUGGGCCCCACAUGAUUCUGGAGGAUUAUUGGGCUCCCAGAAGCCAACCGUACCUGAAUGGAUUCAGAUGGAUCCCAUCUGGAACCAUGAGCCAAAAUAAAUUCUCUCUUCCUUAAGUUGUCUUGGCCUUGGUGCAACAGAAAAGCGACUAAUACUGAAAUGAAGGAAGGUCUAGGAAGAUGCCUGGGGAUGACAUCAGUCCGAUGUGUGAAAUAAAAUAAGUGUUCGGCACUCUAAGUUAAUUUCUGAGGAACUCUUACCUUUCAUAAGCUGCACUGUGAGAAAUACACGUAAGAACAGGAGAGGGUUUAAGCAAUUUGUUGAAGUAGAAUUUUAAAUACUCAUAAUACCACAUUCUGCUUUUAUUUCAUGGUGUACACUUUUUAUAUUUUAAAAAAUAGGGACCUAGGAGACAGGCUGGCUCAUUCAGUUCAGCACAGAGAACUGAAUUCCGGUCCCCAGCAGCCAUGAAGAAUCAUGAGUAAGCCAUGUAUGACCUUACUCUAUCACUUCGGGCAAACACAGUGGCUCUCUGGAAUUUCCUGACCAGCCAGACUGGCUGAAUCAGUGAAAUCCAGGUUCUAUGAGAGACUCUGUCUCACAAACUAACAUGGACAGAAAUGGAUGCCUGAAAUCAAUCUCAGCCACUACACCCAUGCACAUGUACUGUCCAGAUAUGCAUAGAUAUAUUAUCAUAUAUAUAUACAGAUAACAUGCAAUGAAUAAAAUAUACUUAUCUUAAUAAACUUAAUUUUAUUCAAAGCAUGAAAUACACUAGGUGACUGCCAAUAGAGCGUUCCAGGUUUUAUUCACAUAUACUGUAUGGUGUUAGCGUUCCAGCAGUCAAUCUGGGUCACUCUGCCUGAGGCAUCAUCAAUCUAGGAAACCUCCACUAGUGGGAGAGAAGUGAAGAAACACCAGGAUUGUCUUGACCUUUGUUUUUCUUUCUCCUUUUGAUGCACAAGGCAAACAGUUUCCUGUCAGAGCUGGCACUGGGUAACCCAGCUGCAAAGAAUGUCUGAGCUAGGAUCUGUGCCAAAUGUUAAACUAAAUGCAAGAGAAAUGACAGAAAUCUGCAAAAUCUCGGCUUGGGCUGAAAUUAGUAGCUUGUGUUUCAGUUGAAUUAGAUAUAAUCAGAUAAUUCCAUAUUAAACUCAGAGAGAUUAGAAAUAAAUUCUGAUAUUUGUAAUAUUUUCUAUGUGAGAGAGAAACAUGGCUUUCCUACCAGUUUCUGAAUAGUAAGAGCUUUGUGGUAUGCAUGUGUGCAUAUGUGCAUGUGAGUAUGCAUGUAUAUGUACAUGUGUGUGCAUGUGCAUCCAUGUGAGUAUGCAUGUGUGUGCAUGUGAGUGUGCAUAUUUAUAUGUAUGUAUGUGCACACUGUCAAAUGUAUUAUUGUCAUGUAGGAUGAAGCUCAGUAUGUCAGCUGUGUAUCUGGUUCCUAUACUCAGGCACUCACAGAUGAUAAACGGCCUCUCUCUCCUCCAGGAGGCAUGCUUUCCUGAGGAGAGAAGAGGACACCCACUGAAAAGCAACUCUCACAGGCUUGUCAUGUCUCAGUGUGACAAAAAUUUCUCUGCCAUGUUACUCUAGAAGAGGGCACUUUGGCAAGUGGAAGUGUGCCGUGCUGGUAGAUUUUGCAUUCCAACUGAUAAUGACUUCAUUCCUCCCAUGGACAAAGUUCCAACAACAACAAAAUGGAGGUUUUUUUCUUUAUUUUUUAUUUUUUUUUACAUUUUCCAAACCAUACCAGAGAGUUUUGAUCGCCCUCCUUCAUUUGCUGCUGUGCUUGCUGUUCUAGUUUCAUUCUGUGGCUGUGAUAAAACACUCUUACCAAAAAUAUCCUGGAGGGCGGGGGGGGCUUUCACUUUACAUUUACAGGUCACAAUUUAUCACUGUGAGAAAUUAGGGCUGGAGCUCAUGGCAGGAACUGGAGCAAAGGUCACAAAGGAGUGUUUUUUUUAUGGGCUUGCUCCUAUGACUUACUCGGCCUGCUUUCUUAUACAACCCAGGACCACAUGCCCAGGGGUGACACCACUAGUGGUUACUGGUUUCUCUUCAUCGAUCAACAACAAGACAAUUACACACACACACACACACACACACACACACACACACACACACACAUGGCCACAGGCCAAUCUGAUCUCUGCAAUCCCUCAGUGGAGAAUCUCUCUUCUCAGGUGCCUGGCCACGCCCUUUCUGAGAACUUGGCAGUCCACUGGAGCUUUGGUUGAUGUUAACACCAGGGACACACUGCUGAAAAUGACAGAUACAUUCAAUCUAAAAUCAUAAAAGUGUAAUAGCUAGUUCUUCGAGACCAUAUCACAUGCCAAGAAGACGCAUUUAAGGACAGAUAACCUUCGAUGAAGAACCACUUAGCAUCUGAAAGUGCUCAUUACAUAGAGAACAAACCAUGCUUGUACUCCUGAGAAAUGAGCAAACCUGAGAAGAUCAGACAAACUGCUCACUAACAGAAGAACAGGUAAAGUUGGUCCUCAUAUUACCUAAGGUUUCCCGUGCUGUAUUAAUACAGUAAAGGGAGUGAGGAAAGGUCUUGGCUGGAACUAUUCACAUCUCUACCCCCCACAGACUUAUAGUGCAAGAUCCAUGUCCACAAAUGUUCAUCAAGUGCCGACCCAUUUGGAGCGAGGACUUCAUGAAGUAAGUACGAUUGUAGACCGAAACAGAAAGACAUUUGUGAGACACUCAGACAGCCUAACACCAUGGCAAAGUCAACUCACGAUGCAUAAAGGUGAUUUCCUGUUUUCUGAUCUACCCCUGAGGUCCAAGUGUACCCUGUCUUCAUGAUGGAGGCCCUGAAUGUGAAGAGCAUGUCAGUAAUGGAGCCUGCUGCCCUGUGAACCACAGGGCAUGUGCAUGACCCCAAGGACAGUGGUGCAAUGAAGCUGUCAUUGUGUGUAUGCCUGUGAUUCCAGAUCCUGAACUGAAGGACUGCUAAAAGCCAAGGCCAGCUUGGGCUACAGAGUGAGUUUAAGACUCGUCUGUGCUAUGUCAUAAAACUUUGGCAAAUGUGUAAUGAAAGGAAUAGUGAAGCAAGGCUGAAGGGAAAGACAGGAAGCAGGGAGAGAAGAGAAAGCACAAGGAAGAGGAACUAAAGAAAAUGACUGAGCGAGAGCCACGUCGUACUGAAAGAAGACAGACUUUGAGAAAGAAAGAAUUGGAGCAGAAAGUUAACAACAGUGGCAAAAUCAGGAAGAUGGGUGAUAAAUUGAUAGAUAACAGACAGACAAUACAGAUCAGGGAGCAAGAUAUAAUAGAUAGUAGAUGCAGAUAAGUGGAUGGUAAAGAUGAUAUAACAUGUAAUAUAAUAUAUAACAUAACAUAUUGUGUAAUACAUAAUAUAUAAUAUGCACAUAUAUUCAUAUAUACAAAUAUAAAUCUAUAUGUGUGUGUUUGUUUCUGUGUGAUUGUGUGAACAUGGCUGACCAUUUGGGAUUGGAUAUAAACGUAAAUAUGUAAUCAUAAUAAUUAAAGAAAAACAGGUCAUGAGUUUGAAAAGGAACGGUGAGGGACAGGGAGGAGUUGGAGAGGUGGGAGAGGGAAGGGUUGUAAUGAUGUAAAUAGAGUACUCAUGAAUGAAAUUCUCAAAAAUUUUAAAAUUUAAAUGAAAAAAUCAACAGAGAAGGGAAAUAAGAGUGGGCUGUAGAGGGAUGUUUGUAAUGAGAUAUUGAAUGUCCUUAGAUCCUCUACUGAAAUAACAUCAUCAAACUGCACAUAUAAGUGGAAUGGGAACCAGUAAAACUAUCCCCAAAUAAAGCUGGUCAGGGCCCACCAUUGCUGCACAUGGCUGAUAUCCUAGAGACGAAGGGCAAAUACAGCCUACCACUCAGUAGUUAGAGCUAGCCAUUACAACCAUUAAACCACCCUGUGUAGUCCAUACUCAAAGAGGGCACACAAGCUGCAGCACAGAACAAAGCUGAAGCAGCAGGCAGGAUGCCUAAGGCAGAAUCGGGUGUGGUGCAAGUCUAAAAAAUCUCCUGUAUUAAACCCCCGAUUUUACCUUGUUGUGUUAAACUUUAGCACUCCAUCGUUAGAGAUGGGCAAAGGCAUAAGAAGUAUGUGUGCUUAGGUAGCUAUAGCCAUGCCCUGAAUAGCAGACAAGCUCAAAAAAGGGUCAAGAGCAUCCGUGUGACAGGACCUCAUGGUGAAAUCUGCCAGACAGUCAGAGGAGGUGUGGCGGCCCCUCCUGCCUCUCAGGAAAAAUCAAGGUAAAUAAAGCAAAAUGUAAGAGAGAAAGGAAGAGCAGAGGUCUAAUGUCAGGAAAGAACAGGCUGAGCACACAGCCCCAGAGACAACAGAGGCUUAACCAGCACAGCGAACAGACCUGCUUGUAACUUAACUAAUUCCAUAACCCGGAGACAGAUCUUUCCCUUUCCUUUCAGUACCUAAGGAAAAGAUGUCAAUCUUGAAGACAUUAUGUCAGAAAGAGUUCAUUAAACUUUUGCAAGUGGAAACGGUCGGAAGCAGACUACACUCUCGACUCAUGUGAUGAAACUAACUUCAUGGGAUUUUACCACCUGGAGUCUCAAAGGAAGCCAAGGUAGAGAUUCAAGAGCAGCUGGAAAAUUGAUGUUCAGAAGCACAUUUCAUAUCAGAACCCACGUGAUGUGGCAAACACGGUGCUUGGAAGAAAUCCCGUCGCCUUGUAUAUUGUACAGAUAGCGUGAAUGAAAAGAAAUGGUGAAAGCAACAGACUGAAUGAUGGAAAAAAUCCACACAGCAAAGCAAAAGAAGCAAUGAACAAAAAAUAUACCAGAGACUCAACGCCCUCAUAGGCAGCACUUAGAGUCAUCAAAGACACGGGAAGCCAAAGGAAAGCAGUAAAAACACAAGACUCAGAAGUCAUGUGAAAUGGGCUGAAUGGAUGUGAGGACCUAUAAAGAAAUCUGAAGUUUUAAAACAAUGAACAAAAUAUAUUUAACCACGUAAAGAAGAUCAACACACAAGCUGAGAGAGGAGGAAGGGAAGGGAUAGAUACUGAGGGGAUGGAUGUGCCAGCAUUCAGCUUGAUAAGAGAAUUAGAAGCCUGCAUGUUUAAAAAGUAGAGGGUAAUUACCGCUAUUUGCAUACAACAAAAUUGCAUAUGAAAAAUGCAUGAGCACCAACCAACUAGAAACUGUCACAGAUGGAUAACCCUGUGAAGUGACUGAAAAGGCUGAAGGUAGGACUGGGCUGUCCACCUGUAGACAAACACCACUCUGGAAUCUGGAGUUUGGAUUCCAUUCCCAGUAGGGAAAAAAGGAAUGCACACGAGGAACUCUUGUAAGAGCCACAGGAGCACUAAACACACACCUUUGUUAACAGGAUGCUGGCUGAGUAGACGCAUCCCUUGAAGAUAAAUGCCUAGAACCCCAAGAUUACCAUUUGAGCCCAAGAAGUCCUAAAGAGGCUCAUGUACCUGGAUGUUUGGCCCAGCGGGAGUCACUGUCUGAGGGAGCCUAUGGAGCCCCCAGCACGUGAGGGCCUUGCUGAAAGAAUGGGUCACAAGGAGUCAGGCUUGACCCAUUCUAUCCAUAAGUCUGGUCCACCAAGGUGCAAGCAAGCAGUCGUCUGCUCCAAGUACCCUAUCUUAAAAACAAGCACCAGGCUCUCGUCUUUGGGCUUGCUGUUCUUCCGAAACAAUGCCUGCUUCUGAUUUCUUUGCUGUUAUUCCCUUCCCCUCUGGCUGAGUCUCCUUCCAGGCUCACCCAUGGCAUCACUCAGAGGUGAUCAAUUUUCUGUGACCUCAUCAUGGGGACAUGAGUAUGUACAUGACUCCAACUCCCUCCCUGACUCCAAGUUCCGGUCUCCCCUGCUGCCUGAGCAUCACCACCAAGGGCUUUGUAAGAUGACUCUGAGGUUGCAGGAAAACCUUGGCCACAAGGAUGAGAUGGAAUGAACAAGACAAGUAAGUUAAGUCACCCAUCUGGGGGAGAAGACUGAGAGCGGGGUCUAAAUAAGACAAAUGGAUUCUUGCAAGUGCUCUAUCUGAGUCUAGCCUUGGUCCACGAGUCCCUCCCCUACCCACCUACCCACCUACCAUACUGCCUCUCUGUUCGACCUGCAUGUGCGUUCCAAGUGGAAAGGAUCCCUAAGCACUAUAUCUCGUCUCUGCUUUGCUUAGACUCCUUUCCACUCUCCAUCCUCACAGGUAGCCUAACUCCAAGUACAACUCAGACUCCCAUUUACCUCCAUUCUCCUGUCUUCAUUAUCACACCCUGUCAUCAAUAACCGGAACCAACUUUUAAACAUACAUACACCUUCUCCUGCCUUCUCAUCCUGCUCUCCCUGACAAUGGAAGGAAUAUAAUCCUGACCUUCCUGACCCUGCAGGUAGCCAGUGCACCACUCUGCAUAUCCACUCCACUCAGAGACCUUCAGAGAUGCCAUGGGACCAUAUCCUCUGUCCUCCAAGGAUGCUGUGCUCAUCUAAGGCCCGACAUGAGGCUGUGACUUGAUGGUCACUUGAUGCACUUGCGAAGGCUUGGUCAUGCUGGGCAAGAUCACUGACAUUCUCCAAGCAGCUGCACUGUAAAGUCCUAGGACUUAGUUGGCUCUGGUCACUUCUUUUGCUGUCUUUUGUUCUUAUGGUGUUGGAGCUCGAUGUCUCUCCCCACUGGUCCUGUGUGGUAGGCAAGCUCCCUACUGUGCAUCACAACUCAAACGAUCACUGUUGUUGUUUUAAGAAUAUAUUUUCAACAACUUUAAAAAUAACUGGAUCUUGAGAAAUGAGAAGUUAAGCCAACAAGGAAAUACCUAGUCAGCAUCUAAAGCCAUUUACUCUGGCCACCAGAGGGCCCCCACAUUAAUCGUAACUCCUAAUCUGUAUUGAGAGAGCCAAGAAAUGAUCCUCUGAGUUUAGCAGGCUCAUUAGAAUGUGAGAUGCUUCCUACCCUAGGACAUGUGACUUGUAUAAAACUAUUUGAUUUGUUUCUCUCUUCGUCUAAUGCAAAGCCCCUUAAAAAUGUCCAGCACAUUCAUACGCACAAGCAAUUAAUCCCUAAAAUAAUGGCUACAGUUUAAUUAUCUUCAUUCAUACAUUGAUCAAAACCUUUACUACUCGCUCUUGGCUGUUCUUUGUAUGUGUGCCAUAAAACAAGUAUGUGAUAGAGCAGGUGCUUUAUUUUCAGAAUCAUGUGCUUCGCUGGAAAGUAGAUACUCAGAAGCCUGAAUGAAAGCAUGGAAUUAAUUUUCUUAUCAAAUUGGAAAUGAGUUUUUAAAGAGAUAAUGAUUAAUGUUGGGGGAUAAAGCAAAGAAUCAAUACUUUUGUACAUGUUGGAAAUGAAAUCUGAUGGUCUUAUGUAUUUGGAAGUGUGACUUGUUAAUUUUGCAGUCAUGUAAAAUGACUUUUUAACAAGCAGUGGCCUGUUGAGGAGCUCAAUAAAGAAAAAAGGCAAAGUUG
Molecule: non-coding RNA, 11450 nt
Organism: Rattus norvegicus (Norway rat)
Lineage: Eukaryota; Metazoa; Chordata; Mammalia; Rodentia; Muridae
Source: RefSeq, a predicted model, not a curated record